This 72-nucleotide transfer RNA is filed under the name Ovis aries (sheep). It matches the Rfam family "tRNA". Rfam says of the family: Transfer RNA (tRNA) molecules are approximately 80 nucleotides in length. RNAcentral also lists the same sequence under 1 other name. Lineage: Eukaryota; Metazoa; Chordata; Mammalia; Artiodactyla; Bovidae. The record is from Rfam by way of RNAcentral.
UCCCUGGUGGCUCAGAGGUUAAAGCGUCUGCCUGCAAUGCGGGAGACCUGGGUUCGAUCCCUGGGUUGAGAA